UCUGACUCUCCCAGAGCUUGCUAUAGAUACCGUCAUGAAACGGUGCGUGCCAGAAGUCAGGCUCUGCUCUUGCUUCAGCUGUAUCGUUGCUUUAAAGCACUCACUGCAUUCUAUGCUGUGCACGUCAAAUAUCACCUGCAUGCAUUCCUGGAUUUUAUUCAAGUUAAGCUCGAGUUCCCUGCGUGCAAGUCUCACAGCUCUUCUGGAACAGAUGAGUGCUUCAACAGCCAUAAAAGCCCCCAGGCCAAGAACAGCCAUUGCCAUGCGAAGAACUGCAGAGUCUUGAACAAUUCCGGGUCGCCUUCUUCCGAGGAUUCCUACGUCGAGCUGGUUUCAUGGGACGGAGAACUGGCUGUGACGGAACGGAAGAAAGCUGUGGCUCAAUCAAGGACGCGGCCUUUGUCAUCUCAUAUCCGGAAGGCUCUAGCUCGAGCAGCUCGAGAACUUCCAGAGGCUACCGUUCCUUACGAAUUCUCCCAGCGGGCGUGUCACACACCGGCUGGGGUCUCCGGGAUCCUGGAGCUCCUGAGCUUUACCGUGUAGAAGAGGGCGCUCGUCUCGGACGUCACCACCUUGGCUGGCAGCCGAGCAAUACGUUUUCCUGCGAGAGGCAUACCUGGUGGCCGAAGAAGCCGGAGAAGAGCACGGUCUGGUGAUCAAUCAGGAGCUUAUAGCAAGUGCUACAAAUCAGGUACUGUGAAGAUCAAACGCGGUCAAAAGCAGCAGAUGGGGAUGAAGCCGCGAGAGCAAACAAGACAACUCAGCUACUCUGACCAAGCCGCUCCAAACCAUCCAUCCACGGGUAUCCACGAAUCCUCCGGUAGAUCACACCAGAGUAAACCGGUUGUUUACUUGGGUCUAGCACCCACCUCAAGAUCUUGCCGGCAUUCUGGUCCUCAGUGUCAA
Molecule: RNA transcript, 906 nt
Organism: Selaginella moellendorffii
Lineage: Eukaryota; Viridiplantae; Streptophyta; Lycopodiopsida; Selaginellales; Selaginellaceae
Exons: 2
Source: RefSeq, a predicted model, not a curated record